This 253-nucleotide ribosomal RNA is filed under the name uncultured bacterium. Its description in RNAcentral is "partial 16S ribosomal RNA". It matches the Rfam family "Bacterial small subunit ribosomal RNA", at positions 524 to 776 of the family's 1533-position model. The record is from RNAcentral.
UACAGAGGGUGCAAGCGUUGUUCGGAAUUACUGGGCGUAAGGGGCUCGUAGGUGGCCAACUAAGUCAGACGUGAAAUCCCUCGGCUUAACCUGGGAAUGGCAUUUGGGACUGCAAGGCUUGAGUGCGGCAGAGGAGACUGGAAUUCCUGGUGUAGCAGUGAAAUGCGUAGAUAUCAGGAGGAAUACCGAUGGCGAAGGCAGGUCUCUGGGCUGACACUGACGCUCAUGCACGAAAGCGUGGGGAGCAAACAGG